This 381-nucleotide long non-coding RNA is filed under the name Brassica napus (rape). RNAcentral's name for it is "long non-coding RNA (BNAP_LNC016730)". The record is from RNAcentral. Lineage: Eukaryota; Viridiplantae; Streptophyta; Magnoliopsida; Brassicales; Brassicaceae.
CAUUACACCUGUUCACUUAAAUAUGCAGUAAAAAUGUAUCCGUCUUAUUUUGGAUAUAAGAUAUCAGUUGACCAAACAAGAAAAGAGAGCUUUAUUCAAUUAGACAUUAAAAAGAGGGAAAGUUGUAAAACAAUGCUAAAUUGUAAAGGGAUUGCCUGGGCCACAUACACGUGAAUAUGAUUACCAAUUUAGUUAGUUGGAUUACAUAUACGAAUUGGUAAUGAUGAUGAAAUGUUAUCAAAGCACCGAUUGCUCCACUUAGAUGUUACUCUCGACUUCAUCACUUCUUUUUUAAUCAAUCAUUCUCCUUCGUCCCUUUGACCAUCCCAAUUUCACAAUCAAAUUAAUACAUACAAUAGAAUUAAUGCAUGCACAUCUGCU